AUGCAAUGUCUAGCCACAGUCUCUUUUCGUUACCCGGGAAAGGAGCGCCGCCGCCGCCGCCGCCGCCUUCUCCCUGGUCUCUUUUCGUUACCCGGGAAAGGAGCCGCGCCGCCGCCGCCGCCUUCUCCCUGUUGCGCUGGCCCCUGCUUACUACAGGAGACUGUUUACAAGAUCACACAACACGAGCCCUCCACACACACACCCCCGAGCAGAUUUGACCGCUUUAUAAUCACAAUGUUUGAAGAAGGGCGAAAGGGGGGGGGAAGCGGGCUCCCGUUCCCUCCCUUGACGUCUGUUCCAAACGGUGAUCCCAGAAAAGAAUGGUUGAUUGCAAUACCUGUUGAGGACUAUAAGGAACGCGCUGGGUUAAUUAGUCCAGAAUCAAAGAGACCGAUUAGCUGGAGACCGGAAGAACAACGCGUCUCGUACAGAUGAAGAUUCAGUACAAAUCAAGUGUCGUGAACAGGCUGCUGUCCCCUUUUAUUCAGGAUGGUACACUUCUGCAGAAUACAAAUUUCAUCUGUUUCUGGUGAGUCCUUUGUCUGGUUUGUAUUGGUUCUUUGACAUUUGCAUCUGGCAACCAUAUUCUUUCCUCCUGCCUAUCAGAAGAAGUUGGACAUUAUCUCUUCUUACCCAACAUGUGGUCAACUUAGGGAAGGG
This 660-nucleotide long non-coding RNA is filed under the name Pogona vitticeps (central bearded dragon). RNAcentral describes it as "lncRNA (ENSPVIG00000025003.1)". The record is from RNAcentral. Lineage: Eukaryota; Metazoa; Chordata; Lepidosauria; Squamata; Agamidae.